AUACGAAUAUAUACAGUGCACGGUACAUGAGGUCAGGACUUCACAUGGUAGAGUUACUUCCCCUGGUGGGAAAAUCGCCAUUUGUAACAUAUUUUUACAAGACACAACAUCACAAGUGAAGUGGCACAAUAAACUUUAAUUGAUAGACUGUGUUCAUUGUGAAUAAUAAAAAACACAAAUAGAACAA
Molecule: long non-coding RNA, 187 nt
Organism: Ruditapes philippinarum (Manila clam)
Lineage: Eukaryota; Metazoa; Mollusca; Bivalvia; Venerida; Veneridae
Exons: 2
Source: RefSeq, a predicted model, not a curated record